This 508-nucleotide ribosomal RNA is filed under the name Chaetomium sp. E11. Its description in RNAcentral is "eukaryotic LSU rRNA". The stretch from base 215 to 368 matches the Rfam family "5.8S ribosomal RNA". Lineage: Eukaryota; Fungi; Ascomycota; Sordariomycetes; Sordariales; Chaetomiaceae. The record is from RNAcentral.
AGUAAAAGUCGUAACAAGGUCUCCGUUGGUGAACCAGCGGAGGGAUCAUUAAAGAGUUGCAAAACUCCCAAACCAUUGUGAACAUACCUUCAACGUUGCUUCGGCGGGUUGGCCCCGGUCUCCGGGGUCCCCGGGCCCUACUCGGGCGCCCGCCGGAGGUAUCUAACUCUUGAACUUUUAUGGCCUCUCUGAGUCUUUGUACUUAAUAAGUCAAAACUUUCAACAACGGAUCUCUUGGUUCUGGCAUCGAUGAAGAACGCAGCGAAAUGCGAUAAGUAAUGUGAAUUGCAGAAUUCAGUGAAUCAUCGAAUCUUUGAACGCACAUUGCGCCCGCCAGUAUUCUGGCGGGCAUGCCUGUUCGAGCGUCAUUUCAACCAUCAAGCCCCCGGCUUGUGUUGGGGACCUGCGGCUGCCGCAGGCCCUGAAAACCAGUGGCGGGCUCGCUAGUCACUCCGAGCGUAGUAAUACAUCUCGCUCAGGGCGUGCUGCGGGUUCCGGCCGUUAAAAA